AAUAUUGCGCAAUGGGGGGAACUCUGACGCAGCGACGCCGCGUGAGCGAUGAAGGUCUUCGGUUCGUAAAGCUCUGUCCUUGGGGAAGAAGGUCUUCGGACUUGACGGUACCUAAGGAGGAAGCCCCGGCUAACUACGUGCCAGCAGCCGCGGUAAGACGUAGGUGGCAAGGGUUGUCCGGAUUUAUUGGGCUUAAAGCGCGCUCAGGCGGUCUUUUAAGUCUGAUGUGAAAUCUUACAGCUUAACUGUAAGCGGUCAUUGGAAACUGGGAGACUUGAGUGCAGAAGAGGAGAGUGGAAUUCCAUGUGUAGCGGUGAAAUGCGUAGAGAUAUGGAGGAACACCAGUGGCGAAGGCGACUCUCUGGUCUGUAACUGACGCUGAGGCGCGAAAGCGUGGGGAUCAAACA
Molecule: ribosomal RNA, 407 nt
Filed under: uncultured bacterium
Lineage: Bacteria
Description: partial 16S ribosomal RNA
Rfam family: Bacterial small subunit ribosomal RNA
Source: RNAcentral